This 254-nucleotide ribosomal RNA is filed under the name uncultured bacterium. Its description in RNAcentral is "partial 16S ribosomal RNA". It matches the Rfam family "Bacterial small subunit ribosomal RNA", at positions 524 to 776 of the family's 1533-position model. The record is from RNAcentral.
UACGUAGGGGGCAAGCGUUGUCCGGAUUUAUUGGGCGUAAAGGGCGCGUAGGCGGCCAGCACAAGUCAGUUGUGAAAUCUCCGAGCUUAACUCGGAAAGGUCAACUGAUACUGUGCGGCUAGAGUGCGGAAGGGGCAACUGGAAUUCUUGGUGUAGCGGUGAAAUGCGUAGAUAUCAAGAGGAACACCUGCGGCGAAGGCGGGUUGCUGGGCCGACACUGACGCUGAGGCGCGAAAGCCAGGGGAGCGAACGGG